GUCCACGCCCUAAACGAUGUCAACUGGUUGUUGGGAAUUCACUUUCUCAGUAACGAAGCUAACGCGUGAAGUUGACCGCCUGGGGAGUACGGCCGCAAGGUUAAACUCAAAGGAAUUGACGGGACCCGCACAAGCGGUGGAGCAUGUUGUUUAAUUCGAAGCAACGCGAAGAACCUUACCCACUCUUGACAUACCUAGUAUGGAUUUCAGAGAUGAUUUCCUUCAGUUCGGCUGGCUAGGAUACAGGUGCUGCAUGGCUGUCGU
RNAcentral lists this ribosomal RNA (264 nucleotides) under uncultured bacterium. Its description in RNAcentral is "partial 16S ribosomal RNA". It matches the Rfam family "Bacterial small subunit ribosomal RNA", at positions 793 to 1055 of the family's 1533-position model. The record is from RNAcentral.